This 44-nucleotide non-coding RNA is filed under the name Trichobilharzia regenti. Lineage: Eukaryota; Metazoa; Platyhelminthes; Trematoda; Strigeidida; Schistosomatidae. The record is from RNAcentral.
AGUGAAUGACGAGUCCCAAAUAGGACGAAAUGCGCAUCCCGGCU